RNAcentral lists this ribosomal RNA (433 nucleotides) under uncultured bacterium. Its description in RNAcentral is "partial 16S ribosomal RNA". It matches the Rfam family "Bacterial small subunit ribosomal RNA", at positions 29 to 507 of the family's 1533-position model. The record is from RNAcentral.
AACGAACGCUGGCGGCAUGCCUAACACAUGCAAGUCGAACGAGACCUUCGGGUCUAGUGGCGCACGGGUGCGUAACGCGUGGGAACCUGCCCUUAGGUUCGGAAUAACUCCCCGAAAGGGGUGCUAAUGCCGGAUAAUGUCUUCGGACCAAAGAUUUAUCGCCUUUGGAUGGGCCCGCGUUGGAUUAGCUAGUUGGUAGGGUAAAAGCCUACCAAGGCGACGAUCCAUAGCUGGUCUGAGAGGAUGAUCAGCCACACUGGGACUGAGACACGGCCCAGACUCCUACGGGAGGCAGCAGUGGAGAAUAUUGGACAAUGGGCGAAAGCCUGAUCCAGCAAUGCCGCGUGAGUGAUGAAGGCCUUAGGGUUGUAAAGCUCUUUUACCCGGGAUGAUAAUGACAGUACCGGGAGAAUAAGCUCCGGCUAACUCCGUG